RNAcentral lists this ribosomal RNA (506 nucleotides) under uncultured bacterium. RNAcentral describes it as "partial 16S ribosomal RNA". It matches the Rfam family "Bacterial small subunit ribosomal RNA", at positions 28 to 523 of the family's 1533-position model. The record is from RNAcentral.
GAUGAACGCUAGCUACAGGCUUAACACAUGCAAGUCGAGGGGUAACAAGAGAAAAGCUUGCUUUUCUUGUUGACGACCGGCGCACGGGUGAGUAACGCGUAUCCAACCUGCCUAUAACCAGGGAAUAACCUUGCGAAAGUAAGACUAAUACCCUAUGAUUUCCUUUGAUGACAUCAGAUUAGGAAUAAAGAUUUAUCGGUUAUAGAUGGGGAUGCGUCUGAUUAGCUUGUUGGCGGGGUAACGGCCCACCAAGGCAACGGUCAGCAGGGGUUCUGAGAGGGAGGUCCCCCCCAUUGGAACUGAGACACGGUCCAAACUCCUACGGGAGGCGGCAGUGAGGAAUAUUGGUCAAUGGGCGGAAGCCUGAACCAGCCAAGUAGCGUGCAGGAUGACGGCCCUAUGGGUUGUAAACUGCUUUUAUACAGGAAUAAAGUUAGCCACGUGUGGUUAUUUGUAGGUACUGUAUGAAUAAGGACCGGCUAAUUCCGUGCCAGCAGCCGCGGUAA